This 567-nucleotide long non-coding RNA is filed under the name Ananas comosus (pineapple). RNAcentral describes it as "long non-coding RNA (ACOM_LNC036342)". Lineage: Eukaryota; Viridiplantae; Streptophyta; Magnoliopsida; Poales; Bromeliaceae. The record is from RNAcentral.
CUAUUUGGCCCCGCCAGACGGUCUCGGUUCGUAGUGUGAGUUGACCCUCCCUACAUUCGAGAUGGCUAGUGAGCUGUAGGCGAGCCUUCGGGUAAGCCAUGAGAUUGAUGAACAAGUAAAUGAGGUAAACGAACGAGUGAAUAGCCUUACCUUUGGACAUGAUAACCGGUUAGCUGCUUACCUAUUUCAUUGUGCAUGCAUCAUAUAAUUAUGAUUGGGCAUAGUAGAGUAGCUUUACUCCUGUCAUUUACAGCUUUUCUUGUUAUCUAUCUAUCGAUUGUCUACUUUUGCCCGCUUGGACCUAGUGGGGAGAUCGGCGGAGUCGGCGGCCGAACCCACUGGGAACUAAGGAAGUUAGUUCUCACCCCCAUUUUACUACAGGUUCCAGUUCGGGUGCCCCCGGUGAGCGUGAGGAUCGCGGUAAGGGCCCGGCGUUCUAGUCGCAUUAGCUACCUCCCUUUUGUAUUAGCUAUCACCCCUUUCUGUAUUGGAGAGUAGAUGAUGUAUAGGGUGAGGUUCGAGUGAUUGUAUUUAUGUCUUUGGAAGAAAGUAAAGGAUGUAAUUAAA